Long non-coding RNA from Dama dama (fallow deer), 399 nucleotides. RefSeq lists it as uncharacterized. Lineage: Eukaryota; Metazoa; Chordata; Mammalia; Artiodactyla; Cervidae. The transcript has 2 exons. The record is from RefSeq and is a predicted model, not a curated record.
GUCGUUUCCGCUUUGAGGAGAGAAGGUGGAGACUCACCAGCUGGUUUCUUCCUUUUGCAGCUUUCAUACACUGUGCCUCACAUUUCCUCACCUACGGAGAGAAAGCAGGGAAGGUUUAGACGCCGGCACGAACUAGGUGCUCAGAAGAAAAGGGUGUUGUGUGGAGAACAGGUGUUGCAGACGGAGGUGUUGCAGGUCACAGGUGUUGCAGACGGAGGAAGGUUGGGAGCCCUGUUAAACAUCUGCUAUCAAGAUGGAAGACCUGGGCCUUUGGUUACAAAUAACAGAAACCCAUCUCAACACAUAUAAGGAGCAAAGAAAGGCAUGCAUUGUUCACAUAACUUGGAAUUCCAGGGGUGGUGCUGGUUUCGAGUAUGAAUCAAGACAUUCAAAAAAGAC